CUAGAGGGCAGAUCUCUGGCAAGUUCCAGAAAGACUUGUAGAUUCUCAACAAGUUCCAUUGGCACACCACCACAGAAACUUCUCCACCACCUGCCGAGACACUGUGGUUCCCUCUCAGCCCAGGGCUAGGAGGAAGACUCUUCCUAGGACUCCUUGCAUCUGCUGUACCCACCUAUAUUCUUCAGGGCUAUCUUUACAACUUACUAGCCAACCUUUUGCUACUCUAAUCUGCUAUUAAGGUUAAUGAUUAAACAUAUUAAACAUUUCCAUUCAAAUGACUGUGUGGUUUCUCUCUCCUAGUUGGACCCAGACUGACACUCUUGCCUGAGGGCACAGACCAGGGAGCAGCAAUCAAUACUGGACACCAGGCAGCUUCCACGCUUGACAGUGUUGCCAGACCCUCGCGUGGGCAGGAGGGCACAGCUCUCUAGGAGGCAACAUUAUCCACUGGAGCAUCUAGAAGCACAAGUACUUCCAUGAUGGUCAGAGGCAGAAGAGGAUGCGGAGCAGGGUAGAAGACUCUCAUGACUACCUGCACGCCACCAUCUUCCCCGGCCUGGCGCAAUUGCCUUCAGGAUAUGUACAGCAUGACCCACAGGGAUUUCACUUCAUGGAAUGCAAAACCAACCUGCAUGAGCUUUGUUUGAAAACAAAACAAAACAAAACGAAAACAAAACAAAACAAAACAGAGAAAUCCUAUCUAUAAAAUUACUCUUAAUGGAAAUUCUGCCUGUAUAAAAUUAAAGUGGCAGCCAUCUGUGGAAUCCCACUGCUGAAUGACCGUUGCACAUAGCAGCUUGUUUCAGAACCCUGUCAGAUGACUUUGUGCUGGGCACCAAGUGGCAUUGUUACAGAUGCCGGGGUACACACACGGAGACAGCUCCAGGCAAGGUGCAUUGUUAGGCAAGCUUCCUGUGAGGCAAAGCUAGCCACAGAUGGAAGCCUGCACCCAACCCUACUGCCCAGAGGAACCCCAGGACCCUCAGCCAUCCCUUCCUGGAAUUGCUCAACAUAGAGGAUGCAGCUGGGCGGCAGGUAGCUUGGGGCAAGUUCUUAGCCCUGCUUGUCCACUGCCUGGAAACAGACUUGGUGCUAUUACGGAGUGCAACCAGCCCUUUGGAUUGCGUGGGAGCUGGGUGAGGCCUGUGACUGCUGGCUGUCCCCACUUCCCUGACAACCUGCAUGACUCAGCAGAGGGAGCCAUAAUCCUCCUAGCAGGUGCUGGUAUCCAUGGCUGAGAGACCCACAGACGGUUAACAUCACAGGACUCUGUGCAGACAACCCCCAGUACCAGCCUGGAGCCUGGUAGACUUGCUGGGUGGCUGGACCCAGAAGAGAGAUAACAAUCACUACAGCUCAGCGCUCAGGAAGCCACAUUCAUAGGAAAAGGGGGAGAGUACUACAUCAAGGGAACACCCUGUGGGACAGAAGAAUCUGAACAACAGCCUUCAGCCCUAGACCUUCCCUCUGACAGAGCCUACCCACAUGAAAAGGAACUCUGGUAAUAUGACAAAACAUAUUAGGCUCUUUAACAUCCCCCAAAAAUCACACUGGCUUACCAGCAAUGGAUCCAAACCAAGAAUAAAUACCUAAUUUAUCUGAAAAAAGAAUUCAGGAGGUUAGUUAUUAAGCUAAUCAAGGAGGCACCAGAGAAAGGUGGAGCCCAGUGCAAGGAAACCCAAAAAAUGAUACAAGAAGUGAAGGGAGAAAUAUUCAAGGAAAUAGAAAGCAUAAAGAAAAAACAAUCAACACUUCAGGAAACUUUGGACACACUUAUAGAAAUGCAAAAUGCUCUGGAAAGUCUCAGCAAUAGAAUUGAACAAGUAGAAGAAAGAAAUUCAGAGCUCAAAGACAAGGCAUUGAAUUAACCCAACCCAACAAAGACAAACAAAUAAGAAUAAAAAAUAUAAACAAAGCCUCCAAGAAGUCUGGGAUUAUGUUAAAUUACUAAAACUAAGAAUAAUCAGCAUUUCUGAGGAAGAAGAGAAAUCUAAAAGUUUGGAAAACAUAUUGGGGGAAUAAUCGAGGAAAACUUCCCUGGCCUUGCUAGAGACCUAGACAUCCAAGUGCAAGAAGCACAAAGAACUCCUGGGAAAUUCAUCUCAAAAAGAUCAUCGCCUAGGCACAUUGUCAUCAGGUUACCUGAAGUUAAGAUGAAGGAAAGAAUCUUAAGAGCUCCAAGACAAAAGCACCAGGUAAGUUAUAAAGGAAAAUUUAUCAGAUUAAUAACAGAUUUCUCAGCAGAAACCCUACAGCCUAGAAGGGAUUGGGGCCCUAUCUUCAGCCUCCUCAAAUAAAACAAUUAUCAGCCAAGAAUUUUGUAUCAAGUGAAACUAAGUGUUAUACAUGAAGGAAAGAUACAGUAUUUUUCAGAUAAACAAAUGAUGAGAGAAUUUGCCACUACCAAGCCACCACUAAAAGAACUCUAAAAGUGCUCUAAAUCAUGAAACAAAUCCUGGAAACACAUCAAAACAGAACCUCUUUAAAGCAUAAAUCUCACAGGACCUAUACAACAAAAAUACAAUUUUAAAAGCAAAAACAAAAAACAAAAAACCAAGGUACAUAGGCAAUAAACAGCACAAUGAAUAAAAUGGUACCUCCCAUCUCAAUACUAAUAUUAAAUGUAAAUAGCCUAAAUGCUCCACUUAAAAGAUAUAGAACUAUAGAAUGCAUAAGAAUUCACCAGCCAACCAUCUGCUGCCUUCAAGAAACUCACCUAAGACAUAAGGACUCACAUAAACUUAAACUAAAGAGGUAGAAAAAGGCAUUUCAUGCAAAUGGACACCAAAAGCAAGCAGGAGUAGCUAUUCUUACAUCAGACAAAACAAACUUUAAAGCAACAGCAGUUAAAAAAGACAAAGAGGGACAUUACAUGAUGAUAAAAGGCCUUAUCCAAUUUUAGGAAAAUAUCACAAUCCUAUACAUAUAUACAUCUAACACUGGAGCUCCCAAAUUUACAAAACAAUUACUAAUAGACCUAAGAAAUGAGACAGACAGCAACACAAUAAUAGUAGGG
RNAcentral lists this long non-coding RNA (3016 nucleotides) under Homo sapiens (human). Its description in RNAcentral is "PREDICTED lncRNA (TCONS_00029555)". Lineage: Eukaryota; Metazoa; Chordata; Mammalia; Primates; Hominidae. The record is from RNAcentral.